Molecule: RNA transcript, 2140 nt
Organism: Lepus europaeus (European hare)
Lineage: Eukaryota; Metazoa; Chordata; Mammalia; Lagomorpha; Leporidae
Gene name: zinc finger protein 39-like
Exons: 5
Source: RefSeq, a predicted model, not a curated record
CCCGGAAGUUGUCCCGCGGAACUCCUGUUUGCUGGUGUUCCCGGGUCUCUGGGGUUCUACUCCGUGUUCGUAGAGGUUGGUGCGGGAGUGGAAGAGGGGCCCGGCGGACGUCGGAGGACUGGGAGCCGGCGGGAGCCCCACGUGGUGGGAGCAGAGACGUCCUGGGGUCUUGGCGGCGGAUGCUGACGUGCAGGUAUAAUUAUGGAGUCCUCUGUGUUUCCAAGAGCAAAGAAAAUGAAUACAUUUCCUGUGUUGAUGUCAUUUGAGGAUGUGACUGUGGACUUCACCUGGGAGGAGUGGCAAGUCCUGGAUGAUGCCCACAGGAACCUGUACAGGGAAGUGAUGCGGGACACCUACAGAAGCCUGCUGUCCCUAGCUCCUGAAGCCAAGCUGUUGUCAUUCUUCAGAGGACCUGGCUGAGCAGCUUUGCAAAGUCCUACAAUAUUUCCCAUUAACAGGGUUCUGCAUCACCAAACCUGAGGUGAUCUGCAGAUUGGAGCAAGGAGCAGAGCCAUGGACAGAUGAAUCCCCAACACAGAGCUUCCCAGGCAGAGCAACAGAGAGAGAGAAAGCACGAUCUGCCAUCUGCUCUUUCACUGCCUAAAUGCCUGCAGCAGCCAAGGCUGGGCCAUGGUGAAGCCAGGAGCCAGGAAUUCCAUGUGGAUCUCCUAUGUAGGUGGCAGGGGCCUAGACACUGGCCAUGUCAUCAACUGCAUAAGAGAAUAUACACACAGGAAAAGAAGCAUGAAUGUAUUGAAUGUGGGAAAGCUUAUCACCACAGAUCAGCCUUCAUCAUACAUUGGAGAUCUCACACAGGGGAAAAAUGUCAUGAGUGUGCCAAGAGUUUGCAUGGAAGGAGACCUCACUUUCCAUCAGAGAACUCAUACAGAGGAACAACCUUAUAAAUGUGAUGAAUGUGGAAAAACCUUCUCCAAGAAGGGAGGCCUCACAUUCCAUCAGAGAACACAGCCAGGGGAACAGCCUUACAAAUGUGAUGAAUGUGGAAGAACCUUCACCAGGAAGGGAGACCUCAGUUUCCAUCAGCGAACUCACAUAGGGGAAAAAGCUUACGUGUGUAGUUGCUGUCAAAAGCCCUUUUACUGGAAGUCACAUCUCAUUGCACAUCAGAGAACUCACACAGGGGAGAAGCCUUAUGAGUGUAAUAUUUGUGGACAGGCCUUUACUGAAAGACAGACGUCAUCAAGCAUCAAAACACAAAAGGGGGGGAAGGCAUUAUGAAUGUAAUGAAUGUGGAAAAGUCUUUUGCAUGCAGAUACACUUCAGGACACAUCAGAGGACUCACACAGGUGAGUCCAUAGUAUGGAGAAUUGCUGCAAGUUCACCUCAAUGGGCAUCAGUCCUCACAGAGGAAAAACCUUAUGGACAUAAUGACUGUGGAAGAUCUUUUGCCAGGACCCACAUUUCAUCAAGUGUAGAGGAACUCACACAGGGGAAUUAGCCCUGGAUGGCCGAGACAGGCUAUGUGUUCUGGAAAUUCUACCUCUUGACAUGCAGCCUAUGUUUUCAGCCUCCCUGUUCUGUGGGUAGGAUCAUGUCACUGAGCUCUGCUUUCACUUUUUUUAUUUGUGGAAAUAAACAUUCAGUCUGUAACACCUGCCUGUUUGAAAUAACAUCUUAAUCAUCAAUCAGAUUAUUUGGAACAGAUUUUUUUGUGUGUCCUUUUCCUUCCUUGUCACAUUCUGGUACAGGCCACCUAUGUGACCACCUGAAUACCACAUGACUCUCAUGGGCCUGUCGUGUCCUGCACAUGCAGUGCUGUGUGAUGAGUGUUUCUUCCAGGAUGGGGAUACAGUGACCUCAGAGAUUGUGAUCAUCAUAGUCCUGUUUUCAUAUGGGCCUGGAGCUGCCCACACUACUAUAAGUCUGUUCUUAGGGUGAAGAGGGGUUAUGAGAAAUGUCCUGGGGUUUAAAGUCCGGGUAGUCUCCCCAUGGCUGAUACUGUGCCAGUGUUUUAUUUUGCUUACACUCUGUUGAGGUGGGUUACUCUUGUUUAUAACUUGAGUCCCAACUUGUGACUCCCUUUUUUAUUUCACUAAGCCUUUUGCAGACAAAAUAUAAUCUUGAAUAUUAUGGUAGCUUUAGAUUCCCUUUGAUAUCUUUUUUGUUAGGCCACCUCAUU